This 777-nucleotide ribosomal RNA is filed under the name uncultured Neocallimastigales. RNAcentral's name for it is "partial large subunit ribosomal RNA". It matches the Rfam family "Eukaryotic large subunit ribosomal RNA", at positions 22 to 635 of the family's 3401-position model. Lineage: Eukaryota; Fungi; Neocallimastigomycota; Neocallimastigomycetes; Neocallimastigales. The record is from RNAcentral.
GUACACGCUGUGACUAGCAUAUCAAUAGCGGAGGAAAAGAAACUAACAAGGAUUCCCCUAGUAACGGCGAGUGAAGCGGGAAGAGCUCAAAUUUGAAAUCUUAAAGGGUUUCCCUUUACGAAUUGUAGUUUAAAGAAGUGUUUUCUGUUGAGGUUUUGGUAAAAGUUCUUUGGAAUAGGACAUCAUAGAGGGUGAGAAUCCCGUAUUUGACCUUUACUUUCAACUUUGUGAUACACUUUCAAAGAGUCGGAUUGUUUGGGAAUGCAGUCCAAAAUGGGUGGUAAAUUUCAUCUAAAGCUAAAUAUUGGCGAGAGACCGAUAGCGAACAAGUACCGUGAGGGAAAGAUGAAAAGAACUUUGAAAAGAGAGUUAAACAGUACGUGAAAUUGUCAAAAGGGAAGCGUUUGACACCAGUGUUGUUUUUCUGAAAAUCAAUUAAAGAACUGCUUAUGCUAAGUUGUUUAGACUUUAUCAGCUAAUCUGUUUAGUUUUGAGCUCUUUCGUUAACUGCACUUUUCAGUUAACAAGUCAACAUCAAUUUCUUUUGCUGUAAAAAGAGCUUGAGGAAGGUGGCUUGAGAUUCGUCUUAAGUGUUUAUAGCCUCUUGCCUAUGCAGUCGGAGAGAUUGAGGUCUGCAGCGUAGAUCCUUCGGGGCUAAAUGCAUUUGUGCUAAGUUAUAGCAUUUUAUAGACAACUUGUUGACUAUGAUUUGUCUUGUAGCUUACUCGCUUAUGUUAUUUUACCUACGCUUAGGAUGUUGAAGAUGUAGCACAUCAU